AUGCCUCGUCUCUCUCUCUCUCUCGGCCAGGCCGUGGAAGUCAGAUCGAACCGGGAGAUUUUCAGAAACUGGCGGCAUAAAAGAUAGGGGCGCCACGGGCACGAUAUGCCCAUCUAGAGUUACCGCAGGGUCGGUUACCAGGUCUAUGCCUUUCCUUUCCUCCGGUGAAAACAGAAAAUCCAGAGGAUUUCGAUU
Long non-coding RNA from Apis dorsata (giant honeybee), 195 nucleotides. RefSeq lists it as uncharacterized. The record is from RefSeq and is a predicted model, not a curated record. The transcript is spliced from 3 exons. Lineage: Eukaryota; Metazoa; Arthropoda; Insecta; Hymenoptera; Apidae.